This 425-nucleotide ribosomal RNA is filed under the name uncultured bacterium. RNAcentral describes it as "partial 16S ribosomal RNA". It matches the Rfam family "Bacterial small subunit ribosomal RNA", at positions 354 to 796 of the family's 1533-position model. The record is from RNAcentral.
GUUAGGAAUAUUGGACAAUGGGCGAAAGCCUGAUCCAGCCAUGCCGCGUGAACGAUGAAGGCCUUCGGGUUGUAAAGUUCUUUAGCCGAUGAUUAUAAUGACUGUAGUCGGAAAAUAUGCCCCGGCUAACUUCGUGCCAGCAGCCGCGGUAAUACGAAGGGGGCGAGCGUUAUUCGGAAUCACUGGGCGUAAAGCGUGCGUAGGCGGUUUUGUAAGUUAGGAGUGAAAGCCCAGGGCUCAACCUUGGAAUUGCUCUUAAAACUGCAAGGCUCGAAUCUCGGAGAGGAUAGCGGAAUUUCCAGUGUAGCAGUGAAAUGCGUAGAUAUUGGAAGGAACACCAGUGGCGUAAGCGGCUAUCUGGACGAGUAUUGACGCUGAGGCACGAAAGCGUGGGGAUCAAACAGGAUUAGAUACCCGAGUAGUCC